RNAcentral lists this ribosomal RNA (396 nucleotides) under uncultured bacterium. RNAcentral's name for it is "partial 16S ribosomal RNA". It matches the Rfam family "Bacterial small subunit ribosomal RNA", at positions 523 to 918 of the family's 1533-position model. The record is from RNAcentral.
AUACGUAGGUGGCGAGCGUUGUCCGGAAUUAUUGGGCGUAAAGAGCAUGUAGGCGGUUUUUUAAGUCCGGAGUGAAAAUGCGGGGCUCAACCCCGUAUGGCUCUGGAUACUGGAAGACUUGAGUGCAGGAGAGGAAAGGGGAAUUCCCAGUGUAGCGGUGAAAUGCGUAGAUAUUGGGAGGAACACCAGUGGCGAAGGCGCCUUUCUGGACUGUGUCUGACGCUGAGAUGCGAAAGCCAGGGUAGCGAACGGGAUUAGAUACCCCGGUAGUCCUGGCCGUAAACGAUGGGUACUAGGUGUAGGAGGUAUCGACCCCUUCUGUGCCGGAGUUAACGCAAUAAGUACCCCGCCUGGGGAGUACGUCCGCAAGGAUGAAACUCAAAGGAAUUGACGGGG